AAUAGAUCGUAGGUGGGGUUUUUACAGGGGGCUGUGGAUAGAGGGCCAUCUAUAUAUAAAGGGGCUUGUCUGAUUUGUAAGUCACUUUACCAAAUCCCAACACGACUUUUACUUUUCACAUCUCUACCACCACAAAUCAUGAAGACAUCUCUGGUCCUCCUUGCCCUCAGUCUGCUGGCUUGUUCAGUUUGGGAAAUCCAAGGGCAAUGCAGAGAGGAUGACCAGGAAGCACAGUCGGAAAAGUGCAUGGAGGAAACACUAUUUGGAACCUGCUGGGUGUGUAAGUGGGCACUGAAAAAAGUGAAGGAAUCCACCUCCACUUCCGAUAGCCAGGAGACACUAAAGCAGAAGCUACUGUCUGUUUGCGAUAAAGUUGGCUUUCUAAAAUCUAUGUGUAAAGGCCUGAUGAAAAAACACUUGUGGGUGCUGAUUGAGGAGCUUAGCACAAGCGAUGAUGUGAGGACCAUCUGUGUUAACAUUAAGGCCUGCAAACCAAAGGAAAUUUUGGACCUGAGCUACUGACCAUGCAGCCAGUAUCCAGAUUCCAAAGUCAAAAGAUGGAUGUCAGGUGUCAAGACAAUGCUAUGCUGCCAGCCUCUUGGUCUUCUUUUUCAAACUAGUCACAACACAAGCAUAUAAAUGGAUGAUUAAGUUAUUGGAAUGAUUAUGUUAUUGGAAUGAUUAAUUACGUGGGAACACGUAUUAUAGUUAAGCAAUAAGGCCAGAGGGGGUGUGGUACAAGGCCAAUUUACCAUGGCUAUGGGCUGUUCUUAUGCACCACGCAACGCUAUGGUAUAAUGGCCCUAUCCCACAAACCAUAAACAUGUUACCAAUGUAAUUAGAACAGUAAGUUAGUCGUUUUGCGUCAUACCCGUGGUAUAUUGUCUCAUACGAUCCAGUUUAUAAUAGUUAUAAUCAUUCUUAAAUUGCAGUACAUUUUGUAUCAUCUCCAAAUGUAAACCUUUUGCUACUUUAGUCCCAAAUGUUGAACAUUUUUAAUGUUUGUUUGUGUGAACUUUUUGGCUAGCUAAAAAAUAAAGCUCAAUUGAUAGAAAAUACAACUCCUUCUUUGACAUCUCUAUCAUAAUUCUAGCAAUGUAUCUAAUUAGAAUUUUUACUGAUUAACAUAUAGUAGAAUUUGUUUUAUGAUAAAGCAUUUAAUUAACAUGUUUAGGAACUCAUGUUGGCAAACUUUUGUGUUUGGAAUCUCAGUUUUCUGUAAAGAAUCUUGAUUGCUUGGUAUGUAGGGUGACCAUACGUCCUCUUUUUCCCGGACAUCUCCUCUUUUUGGACCUUAAAAAAUGCGUCCGGCCGGAAUUUCUAAAUCGCCCAAAAUGUCCGGGAUUCGGCUUUUGCUUUCUACAGUCGCCAUUCAUUGUGUGAGUUUUUGGGAUUUUGCAUUGCUUUGACCUUUCUCUUUAGGUCCCGCCUUCUCACACGCCACCAUUGGUGGGUCAUGUAGGCCUACGCAAAUGUAGUAGAGUUAAAAUGGUUAUUCCAGCAAACUUCAAAUUAUUAGAAUAGUACACAACGCAGAACAGAACAAUCAGGUUGAGGGUCAGUGGCCAAAAGCCCGCGAACAGGAAUGUUCCAAGUUCAGACAGAAGGGGGGAGUCAGAUCGCCAGGAACUUUACUUUUGGUUUCUAAUUUUAAUUGUUGCGCUACUGGUGAUGCCUGUUGAUGUUAGGUAGGCAGCUACAGUAGCUGAAUGAUGUUAACAUCUUCAGGUUUUGUUUCAUUAAAUGUAUUUUAUUUUAUCUGGGUGCUUACGUCACCUACUAACACCCUGGUACUACCCAUAGAUCCCGCUCUCCUCAGUCUGAGAAAACACUGAGAGAGAAAGAACAACUUGUCAGGUGGUGCAUUGGAGACUGAUGUGUUCCUGUCCUGUCUUUUCAUAAUACUAUUGCAGAUCGACAUAAAAGCCUAAAAGACAGCCGUGGUGUCGCUCUUCAUUUCUUGGUUCUCCUGUGGUGCAUAAGAAACCCGCUACAGAUUGGUGCCGUGACCCGGAUCAACAGAUCAGCUGCAGCAGAUCGCCGGGGGACCCCUAAACAGAACUGGAUCGACAUCACACGUUUAAAACAUUUGAGGGCAAGGUGCAGGCCUAUUGAAAAUUGGACCGUUGGAGAUUUGCAGGCAAUGAUUGACAGCCAUCACCGAGACAAACAAUCAGCCAGACACAGGGCGCAAAGUACUGCCAAGGUAGAAGUUGUGAUGACCCCCGACGCUUGGUGUAUGACUCAACAACAAGCAGUCGGUCAAAAUAAUUCAGCCACGCCCACUAACAGCGAUCAGGCUCCAUUGAACAAAGUGAUUUCUCUCCUGGAAAGCUCCUGUCAACCCAGGAACAAAAUCAAAGGAGAACUUCAGCCAGAACGCCACAAACUAAUACUGCUGCUGGUCCCUGUAGAAUUUGUAAGGCCUCAGACCAUUCAACUCAGUCGCACUGCUUUAAGGAGGGGUUAUGUUUCAAGUGUCACAGGACAGGCCACAGAGGCUUUGAAUGUCCAGCAAGAAAACAAGUUGGAGAGGCAACCGCCGAGGCUCCCCCUGGCCCCGCUUUAAACUAACAUGCUCACACCAAGAGGGGGGCGGUGUGGGCGAACAUGUUACACCUCCACAGAACACUACAGAUAUAAGGACUGGAAACACAAUGAAAACCGAGGUGAUUUAUCCAAAAAUAGAGAGUAAUGACAGUCUUUUCUAUGUUCCAGUAAUGGUGCAAGAAAUUGUAGAACUUCAAGCUCUGAUAGAUAGUGGGUCUAUGACCUGCACGUUAAGUGAGUCAGCUGAAGACACACUUCUGAGAUGUAAUGUGAUAAAACCAGAGUCUAGAAAGCCAACUCAAGUAGUUCUUGUAGGCUGUGGGGGCAACCAGGCACAGCCUAAGUAUGAAUAUGACUUGAACAUUGAUCUUUUAGAUUGCAAGAUGGCAGUGUCUGUUUUAGUUGUACCUGGACAGACAGAUGACAUGAUAGUUGGAUCGAACGCCAUAAAACACAUAAUGCAACAGGUUAAGAAAACAAAGUGGUAUUGGGACAGCCUCUCCAAACCUGCCAAAGGAGAUUCACAUGGACUUUUACUCAGCAUGCUAGCCAACGUGAACCGUUGGCACGGUGACAAAAUACCAGACAAAGUGGGAACUGUAAUGCUCAAGCAGAGUGUGACUCUCAUGCCUCAACAUGAACAUUUGGUCUGGGGAAAACUGAAAGAAAAGGUACCGCUACCAGUCGGUAGUACUGUAGUCAUAGAGGCCACUACAGCACGAUCUGCACCAAGAAAUGUCCUAGUAGGACGCACUGUAUGUCCUUUGAGGGGUGACAAGUGGGUCCCCAUGAAAGUGAUAUACAUGUUGGACCACCCUAUUAUUCUCCGCCGUAACACCAAGUUGGCCGAUGUGCACCCAUGCCUAGCCCUAGAAGACCUAGAGCUCUAUGCCAGCCAUGCUGAGAACCCCAGUAAGGUCCAGUCUGCCCUUCAGAAUGUCACCCAAGCUGGGGAAGGAUGUUCAUUUGGUGGAAAAAGGGCAAAGAAAGAGUAUCUACAAAAGUUGGAAGAGUUGGGCUUAAAAGAAGUUGACAUAGAGUCCUGUGAAGUGUCUGACAUGUGGAAAGGAAAACUAGUGGACCUUAUUGCUCAGUAUGAAGGCAUCUUCUCCAGGGACCGACUUGACUGUGGAGAAGCGAAGAACGUCAUCCACCGUAUCCGACUCAAAGAUGAAAAGCCUUUCCGGCUGCCGUACAGGAGGGUCUCUCCAUCCGACUACCAGAAACUGAGACAGACGCUGGAGGAAAUGGAGGAGCGGGGCAUCAUCUGAAAGUCCAGU
This 3830-nucleotide long non-coding RNA is filed under the name Salmo salar (Atlantic salmon). RNAcentral describes it as "lncRNA (ENSSSAG00000087924.1, ENSSSAG00000116213.1)". The record is from RNAcentral. Lineage: Eukaryota; Metazoa; Chordata; Actinopteri; Salmoniformes; Salmonidae.